This 773-nucleotide ribosomal RNA is filed under the name uncultured Neocallimastigales. Its description in RNAcentral is "partial large subunit ribosomal RNA". It matches the Rfam family "Eukaryotic large subunit ribosomal RNA", at positions 22 to 628 of the family's 3401-position model. Lineage: Eukaryota; Fungi; Neocallimastigomycota; Neocallimastigomycetes; Neocallimastigales. The record is from RNAcentral.
GUACACGCUGUGACUAGCAUAUCAAUAAGCGGAGGAAAAGAAACUAACAAGGAUUCCCCUAGUAACGGCGAGUGAAGCGGGAAGAGCUCAAAUUUGAAUCUUAAAGGGUUUCCCUUUACGAAUUGUAGUUUAAAGAAGUGUUUUCUGUUGAGGUUUUGGUAAAAGUUCUUUGGAAUAGGACAUCAUAGAGGGUGAGAAUCCCGUAUUUGACCUUUACUUUCAACUUUGUGAUACACUUUCAAAGAGUCGGAUUGUUUGGGAAUGUAGUCCAAAAUGGGUGGUAAAUUUCAUCUAAAGCUAAAUAUUGGCGAGAGACCGAUAGCGAACAAGUACCGUGAGGGAAAGAUGAAAAGAACUUUGAAAAGAGAGUUAGACAGUACGUGAAAUUGUCAAAAGGGAAGCGUUUGACACCAGUGUUGUUUUUCUGAAAAUCAAUUAAAGAACUGUUUAUGCUAAGCUGUUUAGACUUUAUCAGCUAUCUGUUUAGUUUUGAGCUUUUCUUUAAUGCACUUUUCAGUUAACAAGUCAACAUCAAUUUCUUUUGCUGUAAAAAAGCUUGAGGAAGGUGGCUUGAGAUUCGUCUUAAGUGUUUAUAGCCUCUUGCCUAUGCAGUCGGAGAGAUUGAGGUCUGCAGCGUAGAUCCUUCGGGGCUAAAUGCAUUUGUGCUAAGUUAUAGCAUUUUAUAGACAACUUGUUGACUAUGAUUUGUCUUGUAGCUUACUCGCUUAUGUUAUUUUACCUACGCUUAGGAUGUUGAGUCGUAGAGCACGCAG